GUCAUGAGAGGGCAGUGAAGAUGAGAUGCAGGGCAGGUCCCUUGGGUGUCCAAGGAAAUCGCACAGGGCUCUAGGAACUCUCGAAGUUUCCGCCCAGCCCUCAGGGGGAAGCUUCUAGUAACGCGCCCCAGAUGUGCUGCUGGGGACCAGGCCAAGAGCGUGAGAUGGCUGGCUGGUGGGAAAACAACUCGAUUUCCCCAGAAGAGCCUCCCGCGGUGGGCAGACACCCCCUGUUGGCCUCGACACUCCCCUCUCUGGAGCAGGGGACCCUUGGCUUGGAGGUAUCCUUUCCAAGGCCUGCAAGAAGCAGAGGAGGAUCCUUCAGGGUUCCUGAGCUGGGAUGUGCAGAAGACUGAGGUAGGGAGGUGAGCCUGGGCGUGGAGAUGUUUUUCCAUCAAGAAUGGAGGAGGUGGAGGAGGAUGAAUGAGAGAUUGUGUCUUCUUCCAGAGAGGAUUUAGUCUCAUGAGGCUACCGGAGGUGCAUCUGAUGAGCCCCUGGUUUGGGUGAAGACCACAAAGCCUGCUUGGGGAUGGAGGAGGAACCGGAAGAAGGCAAGCUCUCAGAGCCUGUAUCCUGGUCUCUUCUCAGUUCCUGCCCUGGAUUAUAGGGUUCAGGGUUGUUGGUGUCCUCCAGCUACCAUAAUUUCUCUCUUCAAGAGGAC
Molecule: long non-coding RNA, 661 nt
Organism: Octodon degus (degu)
Lineage: Eukaryota; Metazoa; Chordata; Mammalia; Rodentia; Octodontidae
Exons: 3
Source: RefSeq, a predicted model, not a curated record